RNAcentral lists this ribosomal RNA (932 nucleotides) under uncultured bacterium. RNAcentral's name for it is "bacterial SSU rRNA". It matches the Rfam family "Bacterial small subunit ribosomal RNA", at positions 53 to 978 of the family's 1533-position model. The record is from RNAcentral.
ACAUGCAGUCGAGGGGCAGCAUGAUUGAAGCUUGCUUCAAUUGAUGGCGACCGGCGCACGGGUGAGUAACGCGUAUCCAACCUUCCGUACACUCAGGGAUAGCCUUUCGAAAGAAAGAUUAAUACCUGAUGGUAUGGUGAGAUUGCAUGAUAUCAUCAUUAAAGAUUCAUCGGUGUACGAUGGGGAUGCGUUCCAUUAGGUAGUAGGCGGGGUAACGGCCCACCUAGCCUACGAUGGAUAGGGGUUCUGAGAGGAAGGUCCCCCACAUUGGAACUGAGACACGGUCCAAACUCCUACGGGAGGCAGCAGUGAGGAAUAUUGGUCAAUGGACGAGAGUCUGAACCAGCCAAGUAGCGUGAAGGAUGAAGGUCCUACGGAUUGUAAACUUCUUUUAUAAGGGAAUAAAACCUCCCACGUGUGGGAGCUUGUAUGUACCUUAUGAAUAAGCAUCGGCUAACUCCGUGCCAGCAGCCGCGGUAAUACGGAGGAUGCGAGCGUUAUCCGGAUUUAUUGGGUUUAAAGGGAGCGCAGACGGGUCGUUAAGUCAGCUGUGAAAGUUUGGGGCUCAACCUUAAAAUUGCAGUUGAUACUGGCGUCCUUGAGUGCGGUUGAGGUGUGCGGAAUUCGUGGUGUAGCGGUGAAAUGCUUAGAUAUCACGAAGAACUCCGAUUGCGAAGGCAGCACACUAAGCCGUAACUGACGUUCAUGCUCGAAAGUGUGGGUAUCAAACAGGAUUAGAUACCCUGGUAGUCCACACGGUAAACGGUGGAUACUCGCUGUUGGCGAUAUACAGUCAGCGGCUUAGCGAAAGCGUUAAGUAUCCCACCUGGGGAGUACGCCGGCAACGGUGAAACUCAAAGGAAUUGACGGGGGCCCGCACAAGCGGAGGAACAUGUGGUUUAAUUCGAUGAUACGCGAGGAACCUUACCCGG